Molecule: ribosomal RNA, 274 nt
Filed under: uncultured bacterium
Lineage: Bacteria
Description: partial 16S ribosomal RNA
Rfam family: Bacterial small subunit ribosomal RNA
Source: RNAcentral
AUACGGAGGGUGCAAGCGUUAAUCGGAAUUACUGGGCGUAAAGGGCGCGUAGGCGGUCUAUCAAGUCAGGUGUGAAAUCCCACGGCUCAACCGUGGAGGUGCAUCUGAAACUGAUAGACUUGAGUAUGGGAGAGGAAAGUGGAAUUCCCGGUGUAGAGGUGAAAUUCGUAGAUAUCGGGAGGAACACCAGUGGCGAAGGCGACUUUCUGGACCAAUACUGACGCUGAGGCGCGAAAGCGUGGGGAGCAAACAGGAUUAGAUACCCCUGUAGUCC